GACGAACGCUGGCGGCGUGCCUAAUACAUGCAAGUAGAACGCUGAAGCGAGGAGCUUCCUCUUCUUGGAUGAGUUGCGAACGGGUGAGUAACGCGUAGGUAACCUGCCUUGUAGCGGGGGAUAACUAUUGGAAACGAUAGCUAAUACCGCAUAACAAUGGAUGACACAUGUCAUUUAUUUGAAAGGGGCAAUUGCUCCACUACAAGAUGGACCUGCGAUGUAUUAGCUAGUAGGUGAGGUAAUGGCUCACCUAGGCGACGAUACAUAGCCGACCUGAGAGGGUGAUCGGCCACACUGGGACUGAGACACGGCCCAGACUCCUACGGGAGGCAGCAGUAGGGAAUCUUCGGCAAUGGGGGCAACCCUGACCGAGCAACGCCGCGUGAGUGAAGAAGGUUUUCGGAUCGUAAAGCUCUGUUGUAAGUCAAGAACGGGUGUGAGAGUGGAAAGUUCACACUGUGACGGUAGCUUACCAGAAAGGGACGGCUAACUACGUG
RNAcentral lists this ribosomal RNA (497 nucleotides) under uncultured bacterium. RNAcentral's name for it is "partial 16S ribosomal RNA". It matches the Rfam family "Bacterial small subunit ribosomal RNA", at positions 28 to 507 of the family's 1533-position model. The record is from RNAcentral.